UACAGAGGGGGCAAGCGUUAUUCGGAAUUAUUGGGCGUAAAGGGCGCGUAGGCGGCCUGGCAAGUGGAAGGUGAAAUCCCUCGGCUUAACCGAGGAACUGCCCUCCAAACUGCUUGGCUUGAGACCGGGAGAGGUGAGUGGAAUUCCCAGUGUAGCGGUGAAAUGCGUAGAUAUCUGGAGGAACACCGGUGGCGAAGGCGGCAUCCUGGACCAACACUGACGCUGAGUGAGCGAAAGCCAGGGGAGCAAACGGG
This 254-nucleotide ribosomal RNA is filed under the name uncultured prokaryote. RNAcentral's name for it is "partial 16S ribosomal RNA". It matches the Rfam family "Bacterial small subunit ribosomal RNA", at positions 524 to 776 of the family's 1533-position model. The record is from RNAcentral.